ACGGACUUCGGUCUGGUGGCGAGUGGCGAACGGGUGAGUAAUGUAUCGGAACGUACCUUUCAGUGGGGGAUAACGUAGCGAAAGUUACGCUAAUACCGCAUAUUCUGUGAGCAGGAAAGCAGGGGAUCGAAAGACCUUGCGCUGAUUGAGCGGCCGAUAUCAGAUUAGCUAGUUGGUGGGGUAAAGGCCUACCAAGGCGACGAUCUGUAGCGGGUCUGAGAGGAUGAUCCGCCACACUGGAACUGAGACACGGUCCGGACUCCUACGGGAGGCAGCAGUGGGGAAUUUUGGACAAUGGGGGCAACCCUGAUCCAGCCAUGCCGCGUGAGUGAAGAAGGCCUUCGGGUUGUAAAGCUCUUUCGGCCGGGAAGAAAUCGCAUAGGCUAAUACCCUGUGUGGAUGACGGUACCGGAAUAAGAAGCACCGGCUAACUACAUGCCAGCAGCCGCGGUAAUACGUAGGGUGCGAGCGUUAAUCGGAAUUACUGGGCGUAAAGCGUGCGCAGGCGGUUUCGUAAGACAGAGGUGAAAUCCCCGGGCUCAACCUGGGAACUGCCUUUGUGACUGCGAGGCUAGAGUAC
Molecule: ribosomal RNA, 580 nt
Filed under: uncultured Dechloromonas sp.
Lineage: Bacteria; Pseudomonadati; Pseudomonadota; Betaproteobacteria; Rhodocyclales; Azonexaceae
Description: bacterial SSU rRNA
Rfam family: Bacterial small subunit ribosomal RNA
Source: RNAcentral